GCCGAGCAGAGCGAGACAACAACGCGCCAGCGUUGACCCGAAGGGCGAGUCCAGAGGACGAGUCAUCCCGCACGACCCACCG
RNAcentral lists this small RNA (82 nucleotides) under Yersinia pestis. RNAcentral's name for it is "partial RtT sRNA". It matches the Rfam family "RtT RNA", at positions 47 to 130 of the family's 130-position model. From Rfam's summary of the family: This family represents a bacterial cis-regulatory element known as RtT RNA. The record is from RNAcentral. Lineage: Bacteria; Pseudomonadati; Pseudomonadota; Gammaproteobacteria; Enterobacterales; Yersiniaceae.